This 427-nucleotide ribosomal RNA is filed under the name uncultured bacterium. RNAcentral's name for it is "bacterial SSU rRNA". It matches the Rfam family "Bacterial small subunit ribosomal RNA", at positions 83 to 540 of the family's 1533-position model. The record is from RNAcentral.
UCGUCAGUAAAUGUAGCGUACGGGUGAGUAACACGUGGAUCAUCUACCCCGAAGUGGGGAAUAACGCUGGGAAACCGGCGCUAAUACCGCAUAAUCCCGAGAGGGCAAAGGAGCAAUUCGCUUUGGGAGGAGUCCGCGGCCGAUUAGCUUGUUGGUAGGGUAAUGGCCUACCAAGGCUUUGAUCGGUAGCCGGCCUGAGAGGGCACACGGCCACACUGGCACUGAAACACGGGCCAGACUCCUACGGGAGGCAGCAGUGGGGAAUCUUGCACAAUGGGGGAAACCCUGAUGCAGCGACGCCGCGUGAGCGAUGAAGCCCUUCGGGGUGUAAAGCUCUAUUCGGCAGGGACGAUUAUGACGGUACCUGCAGAAGCAGCUGCGGCUAACUACGUGCCAGCAGCCGCGGUACAUACGUAGGCAGGACGCG